Molecule: ribosomal RNA, 520 nt
Filed under: uncultured Planctomycetota bacterium
Lineage: Bacteria; Pseudomonadati; Planctomycetota
Description: bacterial SSU rRNA
Rfam family: Bacterial small subunit ribosomal RNA
Source: RNAcentral
GACGGUAACAACCCCAUGGGUGGGUAUAGCCGCGGGAAACUGCGGGUAAUCCCCAGCGAAGCAAAGCGACCGGCAUCGGUCGUUUGCCAAAGCUCCGGCGCCGUGGGACGGGCCGUCGUGGUAUUAGGUAGUUGGGGGGGUAACGGCCCACCAAGCCUACGAUGCCUACCGGGCGUGCGAGCGUGGCCCGGCACACUGGGACUGAGACACUGCCCAGACUCCUACGGGAGGCUGCAGUCGAGAAUCUUCGGCAAUGGGCGCAAGCCUGACCGAGCGACGCCGCGUGGAGGACGAAGGCCUUCGGGUUGUAAACUCCUGUCGAGGGGAAAGAAGGCCCGCAAGGGCUUGACUGAUCCCUGGAGGAAGCACGGGCUAAGUUCGUGCCAGCAGCCGCGGUAAGACGAACCGUGCGAACGUUAUUCGGAAUCACUGGGCUUAAAGCGCGUGUAGGCGGGAGGGCACGUCCGUCGCUGAAAUCCCCCGGCUCAACCGGGGAAGUGGCGCGGAUACGACCUUCCUG